CAGUCGCCACGGGAAUACGAAGGGGGCUAGCGUUGUUCGGAAUUACUGGGCGUAAAGCGCACGUAGGCGGAUAUUUAAGUCAGGGGUGAAAUCCCAGAGCUCAACUCUGGAACUGCCUUUGAUACUGGGUAUCUUGAGUAUGGAAGAGGUGAGUGGAAUUCCGAGUGUAGAGGUGAAAUUCGUAGAUAUUCGGAGGAACACCAGUGGCGAAGGCGGCUCACUGGUCCAUUACUGACGCUGAGGUGCGAAAGCGUGGGGAGCAAACAGGAUUAGAUACCCGAGUAGUCCCUGUCUCUUAUAC
This 301-nucleotide ribosomal RNA is filed under the name uncultured bacterium. RNAcentral's name for it is "partial 16S ribosomal RNA". It matches the Rfam family "Bacterial small subunit ribosomal RNA", at positions 509 to 807 of the family's 1533-position model. The record is from RNAcentral.